AUACAAAGAAAAAAGAUUGAAAGGUGACUUUCGGUUUUACUUUUCCAUUCGCAGAUCGUCCUCUUUUUCUUUCUUUCUUUUUUCGCCUUACAUUUAUUGAUUAUUUACUAAAGAAACAGUUAAUAAUAAAAGAAAGACGUACCUAGUAACCCCAUCCUCUCCCUCUGUCGUCAUCGGAGUUGAGUGGGGGUUGGAGAGUCUGAGGAGAGGUUUCGUCGAGCGGCGCAUAGGGAGUUUUCGUUUAGGUUUUGUUUUUGAUGAAAGUGUUAGGUCUUUUUUUAGCUUUAUUUUAGUUUUAAGCACAGAGACUAAAAUGUCGCCGUUUAUUGCUAGCACAAUGGCUUCAAAACGACGUCGUUUUGAAGACCCGAUUCGAACGGUGACCCGAUCUGGGAAGGAUCCGCGCAUUAUAGAUCGGGUGGUAUAUUUAUUCAACAGGCCCUUCCGUGUUUACUGGAAUUGUGAUUUAAUUUCUUUAAUUGUUUGCAAUUUGUACCACAUAUUUGAUUCCGAUUCCAUUUGGGUCCAAUUUUAAACGGCGCCGUUUGCUACGAGUGGUUUUGAAUGUUUUGAUUUUGCGCAUAAUUACAAUUUUACUCCCUUAUAUUUUUGGUCGAUUACCAAUUUAGUUUAUCUUUAUUUUUCCUUUUAUUUCUAUUUGUAGUGUUUUAUUUUUAUUUUUAUUUGAAUUCCAAUAUCAUUUUUAAUCCCAUUAUUAUUAUUAUUAUUAUUAUUAUUAUUAUUAUUAUUUCUUCUUUAUAUUUAAAUUGUGUCUUAACUUUAACUUGAUUUCUAAUAGCAUAAUUUAACAUAUUUUAAUAUUUAGUUUGACAUUACCUUUAAACUUAUUAUUAUUAUAAUUUUAAAAUGUAAUAUACUAUUAUUUUAAAUUAUUAAUGACAUGUUUUAAAUUUAUCAUACAUUUUUAUAUAUCUAUUAUAUAUUUUUAUCUUCAAACUUUACAUGUUACUAUUUGAUUUAUUAUUUAUCAAUAUGUAUAUUUUUCUAAGAAUUUGGUAUAAUGUGUAUAUAUUUUAAUGUUUUGUUUAGGUUAUAGCUUAAAAUUCAUUUUUGUAUAUUUAUAUGCUAAAUGUUUAUAUAAAUUUUUAUACUAUUUUUUUUAAGGUUGUUAUUAUCUUAUUUCAAGUUUAUUUUGAGCCCAUGCGUGCAAUUUAUUUUAAAACUUUUAUACGUAGGACAUUUUUUUUUCAUUUUUUAUUAUCUUGGUGUAUUUUUAAAAUUGAUGAUAGAUUUGUUUAGCUUUUGAACAUCAAUGUUGAUAUUUGUAUAACACUUAUUUAAUUGUUUUAGUUUAAAUUUAGAUUGUAUUUCAUAAUCUACAUUGUAUGUAUUGUUAUCCAAUCACGUUCCUUUUACGAGAAUUGUAUUUUAUUAAGGCACUAUAGUUGUUGUAUUACUUAAUUCCUAAAAGCUCGAUGUUCAUAAGUUCUCGAAAGAAUCGCGCCUUAACUUACUAGGCUUUGAUUCUUCCCAAUGAAUUUAGAUAUUCGAGUGUUCAAUUUAUUAAAAUCAUUCAAUUUUAAAACUAAGCAUUUGAGAUUUCAAAGUGUUGAAUCCUAACUUACUGGAUGUGACAUUUUGCUAUCUCGAUUUUUAAAAUAAAGGCAAUGUUUGAUGUUUAGGAACUUCGAGAAAUUAAACCCUAACUUACUGGACUCUGAUUUGUCGCUUGACUUAAAUGACCAAACAACCUUCUCAAAGUACAUGAUUUUUAAAUUUUGAAAAUUAAAAAUAUGUACAUAGUUUUGACGAUUGAAUUGUUGUACUCUAACUCACUGAGUGUAGCAAUUUAUUUCUUCAAAAUGAGUGUAUCUUAUUAUUUUAUUUGGUUAUUCAAAAUUUGAACUUUAAAAGGAUCGUAUUUUAAAAUCUUUUCAAAUCCUCGGCACUAAGACAUUAAACAAUCAAUUCGGUACCAAUUUUGGGCGUUACGAGGGUGCUAACCCUUCCUCGUGCGUAACUGACUCCCGAGCCUAUUUUCUCAAAAUUCGUAGACCUAUAAUCAUUUUCUAGGUGAUCCAAUCAAACCUCACUAAAAGAUUGGUGGCGACUCCCAUUUUAUUUUUUAAAAGUCGAUCACCAUUUUUCAAAUUAUAAUAAAAAAAUAGUUUUUACAGCUUGGCGACUCCACUGGGGACCAAAAUAAGAGAGUCAGGCCGUAAAAUUGAUUGUUUUUUAUCUUAUUGUCGAAAAUUAAAAUUUGAUUUAAAAAAAACGACGAUCUUCUCUUUGCAUUUUUUUACAUUAUUACUGUAAAUUGAAUUUUAUAUUUUGUCAUCAUAUUGCAUGAAGGCUAUUCUUGUCUUACCCCUCUAAGUGGGAGUGAGAAGCUACUCCUUCGUGAGGUUUUCACCUCUGUGCAGGAUAGUGAUCACUUUCGGGAUACAUCCGUACUUAUGUCUUCGUGAGAUCUUUAUCUCCUUGCAGCCAUAGGGAAUUGUAUUCCCCUGAACCGAACUCGGUCUGUAUGAGCCUAUAAUGGGUGAGCAUCGAGGAAUCUGCUGGUUCAGGUACCUUGACUCUUUAGAGCCAAACCUCAUAUAGUGGACUUAGGAACUUAACCUAGGUAGAGCCACUCCAAAUCUCUAGUAUUUACCUGAUUAGGUACUUUUUGUUUUCCGUGCUUGCUUAUGUUUUGUACUAACCCCUCUUGUUGUGUUUUGAUUAUGAUUGCAUUGCAUUGCAUUUACAUCUUAGGAAAAAGAUAUUGAUUCAAGUCCGAUUACUAAAUUAGAAAGCUUGUCAUGGAAUACGAAUUCCUUGAUAAAGUGGAAAACAAUACGACUGCCCGAAUAUAUUCUGAGAAACACAAGAAGGGCGAUCGAAGAGUUCAUGACCUUGCUUCGUGGCCUGAGGAUUCAAGGCGAUCGUCUGAGAGCCCUCAACGUUCCAACCUCUUAAAGAAGCCGACGAGCCUUAUGAAGACGGGUAGAUGGAGGAUUACGACCAAGAUCAAGAAAAUGAGCUAGCAAUGGCAUCUAUUGGCGAGAUUACCUCAAACGUGCGGAUGAAGAAAAGGAUCGAUAUUGUCUCUUGGAAUAUAAGGGCAAAUCCGUACAUACCUCUGCUUUAUGUAAAGGAAUUUGCUUUCUAGAAAAGUUUUCUAAAUGUAAUUGAAUCAGGUUCAACGUCUCUUUAGGCAUUCAUUUCAUGCAUUUGCAUUACAUGCAUUAAAAUCCAUCAAAAGAGUCUAAUUGAGUAAGUUUAUUUCAGCUAGUCAACCUAACACCCUUACGGUAUCCAAGCAAAGACUAGAGAAAUGGAACGAAGGUUGGAAAAAUUAGAGUGAAUGCAGAUACAGAUGCAGGAGCAAUUGACCGAAUUUCAACAGGAAAUGAGAGAUCAGAUGCUAGAAUUACAGAGAUCUAUGAUGAGCCAGAUCAACCGAUUGCUAGUUGGAGAGUUAGAAAAAAGGAAAGACUCGGUGAUCCACUUUGGGGUUGAUAAUGAGGAUCUUGCCCAUUCCCUAGAUUAUACUCCAACAAGUGUCCAAGUUCAGCCAAAUGGGCGUCCACAAAGGGCACUCUUUACUAUCAGAUCACAACAGUAUCAGACUGGUACAGCAACACCAGUGGGUUGCUUGACAGACCCAAGGUCCAAUUUGAGGAACAAUUUUCCUGUAACUCUUGAUAACCCAGCUAAAACCAAGCAGGCGAGGGUGGAGUACCUAGCUACUACAAAGGCCCCGAGGAAGAAGGGGAAUAAAUGGGAUAAUGUGGGCAGGUAUAACAAGGGCCAUUCAAAACCAAUCACUGCGAGCCGACUAAAGACGGAAACCACCAGACAUCAGAGCCCUUUAAAACAAGAAUCUGGAGUGAAACCAGGUACGGAGAAGCUCCAGUUCACACCAAUUUCGAUGUCAUAUAAGGAGCUAUAUCAAAGCUUGUUCGAUGCGCAUGUUGUUGCUCCUCAUUACUUGACCCCUUUACAACCUCCUUAUCCCAAAUGGUACGAUAUAAAUGCACAAUGUGACUAUCAUGCGGGAAUUUUAGGGCACUCAGUAGAGGAUUGUAUUGCCUUCAAAAAGCUAGUUGAAAGACCCAUCAAUAUAGGCGUUGUCAAAUUUGAUUAUUCAUCCAGUGUAGAAAAUACUCUGGCCAAUCAUAUUGGGGAUGAGGUGAAUGUGGUGUACGAAGAGGUGUUGGGAAAUGUUCACAUCAAUGACAUGUCUGAAGACACAAAUGAAAAGGGACCUUGUUAGAUGUCCGCCCUUAUAAAUUUGAGAACGUUCUAAGCAAUUGGCCUGCGAAAGAAAUCCCUGUAGUUUUUAGAGCUUAUCUAGAGUAAUGUUCAGAACAUUUUUGUUAUUUUUAGCCUAAAGAUGAUAGAAAUUCCUUUGUGGAAAAGGCUCAUGUCUGAACGUUAUUAUUCUAGUGAAAUACAUCUUUGCGAUCACUUUUGAGCCAAUGUUAUUUCAUUCUUUUUGAAUAAUUAUUUCUGAUUAUUUUAUUCUUUUAGAUUUUCUUCCACAUCAUUCAUUCAUUCAUAAUCAUAUUGUAUUAUUCAUGAAUUUACACAUUCUUUUGUAUAUUCUUUGCUACUUGCUAUGGGUCCUCAGAUAUCAAUGACAUGAAUGACACUGUUACAGACUCAGAUUUUCCUCUUGAGCGAGGCAUGUGUUUAGACGGAUCUCAUGACUUUGGAAAUGACACAGGUCGUAGCUUAUCUCCGAACUUGUCGAAGAUGGUAGAAGAAGAGGAUAAACAGAUCAUGCCUCACAAGGAAUCAUUAGGAAUUAUGGGCUUAGUGAAGAUUAGAAUUGACCUGACCUCAAAGAUGAAGCAAGACCUUGUUCAAAGAUGUCUUUGUAGGAUCAUACCAGGACUAACUGCUGAUAAUGAAAUCUACACAAUAGCGCGAUGUCAGAAAUUUGCAGUAUAAGCGAUGCAAUUCUUUGUCGGGGUAAUGCCCCUCUCGUUGACUCAGCAUAGCUUUGCCCAUUUGAAGUCGAGUUUCUAUCCCUUCAAGAUGUUGUUAGAUUUUAAGUUGUAGUUACACCUCAAAAGGCUCUAUGAAAGAAAUCUGAUACCAAAGAAGGUUUUUUGCAUGCAAGAUGAAAGUGAAAGAUCUUAGGUGGAGGACUUUAUCUAUAAAAACAUUGAUUCUGGUCGAAAGAGGAUAACGAGAACUUGCCUAACCCCAUGAGCUCAAAAAAAAUCCAAAUCCAAAUCCAAAUCAAAAACAAAAAAGAAGAAAAAGAAAAAGAAAAAGAAAAAUCAAAAUGAAAAAGAAAAAAGAGAGAAGAAAAAAGGAGAGGCCAAGGCAAAAACCCGCAAAGGACGCUUUAUGACCAAAGGUGGUUUUGAGUUGAAAACCCGAAAAAGGCGACUCAAAUUUUGAGCAAAAUAGGGCAUGUACAUCACCAUUAUCGAAGACUUCUAAUGGGCAUUGCUUCCUUUUUUUUAGAUCGUUAGAGGCUGCUUCAUACACCAAUGUCAUUAUAUGCUUAUUCCAGAGAAGAUAGUAUUAGAAAAUACAUUGAACUGGAACAAUAGCACGAUAGCUGAGGUCUGAAAUCAAUUCAGAAGCAGACAACACGAUUCGUCACUGAAUUUCUUGGAGAUGAACAUCAAGAAAAUUGAAGAAAAAUGACUGAGAUUUGCAAGGACUGGCAUGGGAAAUUACCAUUUGCCCUCGUUGCUUGUCGAACAUCUGUACUGGGGCAACACCUCUCUCUUUGGUUUACAGGAUUGAGUUAGUUUUACCUAUUAAAAUCCCCUCUCUCUAGGUAUUAAAGUUGGAAGGAUCCAAUCGCGAUGUGAUCAGUUGGACCUAGGAAAAGGGUUAAAAGCUAUUCACUAGGGUCGGAUGUACCAGAUGAUUCAAGCCCAUAAUAAAUAGGGUCAUCUCAGAGAAUUCCACGAGAGGGCUGGAUGUCGAAAAAGAUCCUUCCCCAACGAAAAGAUUCUAGAGGGAAAUGAAUGUCAAACCGGGAAUGUCCCUAUAUUGUAAAGAAGACCUUAUUUAGAAGAGCAUUGAUCCUGAGUGAGAUUGCUAGUCUUAUAAACUCGGAUCCAGUCAAGAAAUACUUAGUAAAAACCAGCAAAGGGGACUUUGAAAAAAAAUAAAAGAAGAGAAAAAUGGAAAAAUAAAAAUGAAAAAAUGAAAAAGUAAAAAUGGAGAGGCUAAGGGGAAAACCCGAAAAGGGCACCUUAGGCCAAAGGGGAUUUGAGUUGAAAACCCGAAAGAGGCGGCUCAAAUAUUGAUUAAAAUGGGGCAUGAGGUGAUCAGAGCAACUCGAAUUUUGAUCAUAUUGGGGCAUGUGGUGAUCUUGCUAUGCCUGAAUCAACAGGAAAGGAUAGGCGACAUCUUGGGGCAUCGACAAAGCAAUGUAGAUCUCCUAAACACAUGUCAAACUCAGAAUGGUCUUCAGAAAGUUUGUACAAAGAAGUUCAAGCUGCGAUAUCUGGGGCACCCAAUUCUCAUAUUAUUUAUAUUAAAUUUUUUGUUCUUGGAAUACUUUUUUUCUUUUCCAAGAUAUACACUCUCAAUCAAUUUCUUUAUUAUCCUUCUUUUUUGGAUAAUUUAUUCCCUUCAAGCUAUGCUCAAAACCAACUUUAUUCUUAUCCAUUGUUAUGACUUUUUUUUUUUUUGCAAGCAUGUUGCAUUGGAAUAAUGAUUAAUGGACUAAUAAAAAUUUCACAAAUGAAGUUUUGCAUAUUACUUUGAAAAGUCUCUAAAUAAUAUAGGAGCCUGAAACAGGACUAUUGUUUAGAACGCACCAGGUUUAAAGGUUAGAAAUUUGAGAAGGAAAAGUCUAAAUUUGGACUUUCUCUUUGGAUUUUGUUGUCAAAUGCAUUGAUUGAACAAAAUGACGGGUUAAUGACAAAGCUUAAAUAAACAAGCAAGUGAUGAUCAUCAGGCAAGAGGAAGAGGUUACCUCAGAGAAGAGAGCCUUCAUCUGCGCAUAAGUCUUUGGUACGACACCCUGAGAAUGGUGUAAGAAACCAGAACGAUUUAGAUCCUAUAUCCUUGAAUUGUGAUAAGAGAGGAUUGAGGAAAAGCCACCUAUUUCUACCCUUAGAUUGCAGUGGGAGAAUGAUGGCACAAAUUGUGCGCCCUAAUGGAUUAAACUUUAAGGUUUAUAGUGGGGGGCAACCUGGCUAAAUGUUUUUCAGAAAGCCAGUCAAGCAAGAAGGCGUUGUAGCACAUCAGUCACAAAGCCUUGAUAAAUUUCGAGUAAUGAUAACCUAAACGGGAUCAUUCUCGAAAAAAAUAAAACUCUGCAUUCAUGCAAACACUAUUCACAAGUCUAGUUAGGAGCAUUUGAUUCAUUUUGAUCAUGCCAUCCUAAUCAUUAGGUAUAAUUAGGUUCAUUAUACAGGUCAUGUUCCCCAGAGAACAGAUCUGGUAAAUUACAGAUCUUGUCUCCCUAAGCAAUAGCGGAGCAAAUCGAAGACGACAAAUCUUACCUUCAAGUUGGAGCAGAUUGAAAGCCAAAAAUCUUAUCUCCUUGAGAUCACAGCGGAGCAGAUUAAAGCUAGUAAUCCUAUCUCCCUGAGAUUACAGUGGAGCGGAUUAAAAUAAAGGAUCUUAUCUCUCUAAAGUUACAGUAGAGUAGAUGGCAUCAGAUUGAAGCCAGAAAUCUUAUCUCCCUAAGAUUACAGCGGAGCAGAUUGAAGCUAGUAAUCCUAUCUCCCUGAGAUUACAGUGGAUCGGAUUAAAAUAAAGGAUCUUAUCUCUCUGAAGUUACAGUAGAGUAGAUCACAUCAGAUUGAAGCCAAAAAUCUUAUCUCCCUGAGAUUACAGCGGAGCAGAUUGAAGCUAGUAAUCCUAUCUCCCUGAGAUUACAGUGGAAUGGAUUAAAAUAAAUGAUCUUAUCUCUCUGAAGUUACAGUAGAGUAGAUCGCAUAAGGUCUUAUCUCCCUGAGAUUACGGUGGAAUAAACCAAAGAAUUACAGAUUUUACCACCCAGGCGGUGCAGUGGAACAGAUUAAAGCCACAACGAUAAAUUUUGCAUCCCUGACAUUGCAAUUAAAAAGAUUAAAGCUACAGCAGCGAAUCUUACCUCCCUGGUAGUGCAGUGGAACAGAUUAAAGCCACAUCAGUGAAUCUUACCUCCCUGACAUUGCAGUUAAAAAGAUUAAAGCUACAGCAGCGAAUCUUACGCCCCAGGCGAUGCAGCGGAAUAGAUUAAAGCCACAUAGGUGAAUCUUGCCUCCCUAACAUUGCAGUUAAAAAGAUUAAAGCUACAACAGUGAAUCUUACUUCUCAAGCGGUGCAGCGGAGCAGAUUAAAGCCACAUCGGUGAAUCUUGCUUCCCCGACAUUGCAAAUUAAAGCCACAGCGGCGAAUCCUACUUCCUUGGCGAUGCCGUGGAACAGAUUAAAGUCACAACGGUGAAUCUUGCUUCCCUGGCGUUGCAGUUAAAAAGAUUAAAGCUACAACAGCGAAUCUUACCUCCCAGGCAGUGUAGUGGAACAGAUUAAAGCCACAACGGUGAAUCUUGCCUCCAUGACAUUGCAGUUAAAAUGAUUAAAGCUAUAACGGUGAAUCUUACGCUCCCAGGCAGUGCAGUGAAGCAUAUUAAAGCCACAACGAUGAAUCUUGCUUCCCCGACAUUGCAGUUAAAAAGAUUAAAGCCACAAUGGCGAAUCUUACUUUCCAAAAGUUACGAGUUACAAAUCCUAUCUCCCUGAUAUUACAAUGGAGCCGAUCGAAGCAAUUCCUAUACCUUUGAAGAUGCAGUAGGAUGGAAUGGAGUCACUUGAAGAAGAAGAGCACCAAGGUCCAAGCUCGACCGGGAAAAAUUGGUCAUUUUUUAGUCUUUGCUUCAUUCCCGUUACACGACAAUAAGCAAAGAGAAGCAAAGAGGGGCAGCUGUAAGAGCCCAUUUUUGCUUGGCCCGAGCCCAAGUAUUAAAACCAAAUAAUAAUAAUAACAUAUAUAUAUAUAAUAAAUAAAAUGUCCACUUAAUGUCUAUUUACAUCUAAAACCCAUACCCAAUUACAUCAGCCCAAAUCAACCUAGCCCAAAACCCUCUCUAAACCCAGUUCUAAGCCCAGCAAACCAACUCGGCCCAAUACACUAUGGCCCGAUUUUAAAAAAAUUCUAGAAACACCUAGGGUUUCUGAAAUCCUUUGCGCCGCAGUCAAGCCAGGCUCUGCUCCGCACGUGCUGCACCACUGCCAAGCAUCGGCCUCCCCCAUGCGCCUCCGUACACUCCAGCUGGACUCCUCCGUACCUGCAGCAAACAACAAAUCGACAGCAAAAUGGAGCAAAUAAACAGCAAAAAAAGGAAGGCAGAGAAAAAGAAAAAAAUAGAAUUUGUAUUCGUUUUCUUUUCUUUUGUUUUUUCGGGUUAUAAAAAACCCAAAGAUGUACUGAAAGGGGGGCUUUUUUCCCCUUUUUACGCAUUCAGAAUACAAAGAAAAAAGAUUGAAAGGUGACUUUCGGUUUUUCUUUUCCAUUUACAGAUCGUCUUCUUUUUCUUUCUUUCUUUUUUCGCCUUACAUUUAUUGAUUAUCUACUAAAGAAACAGUUAACAAUAAAAGAAAGAUGUACUUGGUAACCCCAUCCUCUCCCUCCAUCGUCAUCGGAGUUGAGUGGGGGUUGGAGAGUCUGAGGAGAGGUUUCGUCGAGCGGCGCAGAGGGAGUUUUAGUUUAGGUUUUGUUUUUG
RNAcentral lists this long non-coding RNA (9640 nucleotides) under Gossypium raimondii (Peruvian cotton). RNAcentral's name for it is "long non-coding RNA (GRAI_LNC009078)". The record is from RNAcentral. Lineage: Eukaryota; Viridiplantae; Streptophyta; Magnoliopsida; Malvales; Malvaceae.